Molecule: ribosomal RNA, 267 nt
Filed under: uncultured bacterium
Lineage: Bacteria
Description: partial 16S ribosomal RNA
Rfam family: Bacterial small subunit ribosomal RNA
Source: RNAcentral
UAUGGGAUGGNCCCCGCGGUGCAUUAGCUAGUUGGUAAGGUAACGGCUUACCAAGGCGAUGAUGCAUAGCCGAGUUGAGAGACUGAUCGGCCACAUUGGGACUGAGACACGGCCCAAACUCCUACGGGAGGCAGCAGUAGGGAAUCUUCCACAAUGGACGCAAGUCUGAUGGAGCAACGCCGCGUGAGUGAAGAAGGUUUUCGGAUCGUAAAGCUCUGUUGUUGGUGAAGAAGGAUAGAGGUAGUAACUGUCCUUUAUUUGACGNUA